RNAcentral lists this unclassified non-coding RNA (200 nucleotides) under Tremellomycetes sp. RNAcentral describes it as "partial internal transcribed spacer 2". The record is from RNAcentral. Lineage: Eukaryota; Fungi; Basidiomycota; Tremellomycetes.
UUAAGUUCAGCGGGUAGUCCUACCUGAUUUGAGGCCAGAUCAUAAAAAGUGAUGUCCGAAGACAGUCGGGUUAGAGAGCGGACCUUUGUUGAGAGUCUUGGCCACCCCAGAAGGGAUGUCCUCAGCGAAAUACUUAAUUACGCCAAGUAGAACCAAGUCUUACGACAUGUCCAGCUAAUCCUUUUAAGGUGAGCAGCGCA